ACUGUUGUAAAGAUUUGAAGAGAAAAUGUAGUAGAUAGAAUUUGUCCUUCCUUUACUUUUCCCAUUAGAAAAAAAUGAGAGUCUCAUUCAUAAAACACUGCUUACACAGGAGUUAAGCUGUGUCAAGGAACUCAGAGAAGGAAAAACGUAAUUGAACACUGGACUGUGAUCAGGGAAAAUUGCAGAGAGGAUGAAGAUUACAGACUGGUGGAAGAGGACGGCAAGAAAGGUUUGGACGGGAACACUAGGCAACAGAGUAAGCGGUGUCCUAUGAAAAAAGGCGAAACCGGCAUGGCAGACAGGAGCUUUCAGAGUGGGUAAUGGCUGUGAGCGUUUGACCACGGUUCAGGUUGUUGAGUUUUUGGUCAUCAGCUAACCAUUAAAUGAAGUAGCUUCUUCUGAGUGUCUGUCACUGAAAGAAUAA
Molecule: long non-coding RNA, 424 nt
Filed under: Bos taurus (domestic cattle)
Lineage: Eukaryota; Metazoa; Chordata; Mammalia; Artiodactyla; Bovidae
Description: long non-coding RNA NONBTAT023884
Source: RNAcentral